This 468-nucleotide ribosomal RNA is filed under the name uncultured bacterium. Its description in RNAcentral is "partial 16S ribosomal RNA". It matches the Rfam family "Bacterial small subunit ribosomal RNA", at positions 28 to 507 of the family's 1533-position model. The record is from RNAcentral.
GACGAACGCUGGCGGCGCGCCUAACACAUGCAAGUCGAACGGAGUCAAGAGGAGCUUGCUUUUCUUGACUUAGUGGCGAACGGGUGAGUAACGCGUGAGUAACCUGCCCUGUAGUGGGGGACACCAGUUGGAAACGACUGCUAAUACCGCAUAAGCCCACGGAUCCGCAUGGAACUGCGGGAAAAGGAUUUAUUCGCUUCAGGUUGGACUCGCGUCCAAUUAGCUAGUUGGUGAGGUAACGGCCCACCAAGGCGACGAUUGGUAGCCGGACUGAGAGGGUGAACGGCCACAUUGGGACUGAGACACGGCCCAGACUCCUACGGGAGGCAGCAGUGGGGGAUAUUGCACAAUGGGGGAAACCCUGAUGCAGCGACGCCGCGUGGAGGAAGAAGGUUUUCGGAUUGUAAACUCCUGUCGUUAGGGACGAUAAUGACGGUACCUAACAAGAAAGCACCGGCUAACUACGUG